ACUCCUGCGGGAGGCAGCAGUGGGGAAUAUUGGACAAUGGGCGCAAGCCUGAUCCAGCCAUGCCGCGUGAGUGGUGAAGGCCCUAGGGUUGUAAAGCUCUUUCACCGGUGAAGAUAAUGACGGUAACCGGAGAAGAAGCCCCGGCUAACUUCGUGCCAGCAGCCGCGGUAAUACGAAGGGGGCUAGCGUUGUUCGGAUUUACUGGGCGUAAAGCGCACGUAGGCGGACUAUUAAGUCAGGGGUGAAAUCCCGGGGCUCAACCCCGGAACUGCCUUUGAUACUGGUAGUCUUGAGUUCGAGAGAGGUGAGUGGAAUUCCGAGUGUAGAGGUGAAAUUCGUAGAUAUUCGGAGGAACACCAGUGGCGAAGGCGGCUCACUGGCUCGAUACUGACGCUGAGGUGCGAAAGCGUGGGGAGCAAACAGGAUUAGAAACCCUAGUAGUCCCAUG
RNAcentral lists this ribosomal RNA (448 nucleotides) under uncultured organism. RNAcentral's name for it is "partial 16S ribosomal RNA". It matches the Rfam family "Bacterial small subunit ribosomal RNA", at positions 335 to 799 of the family's 1533-position model. The record is from RNAcentral.